Molecule: non-coding RNA, 169 nt
Filed under: Intestinimonas butyriciproducens
Lineage: Bacteria; Bacillati; Bacillota; Clostridia; Eubacteriales
Source: RNAcentral
AAUUAAAUAUACGCUUCUGUUUUAUGGAAACCGGUGUAAUUCCGGUGCGGUGCCGCCACUGUAAGGGGGAGCCGCUGUGCAGUCAGGACACUGGACCCGAGGGGUCUGGGAAGUCGCACGGCGGCGGGGAACCCGAGCCAGGAUACUUGGACAGAAUGCCUUGCGUCGU